UGCACAAUUAAACUAGUUUGGCAGCGUUGGUUGCAGGCGUGCAGAAGUGAAUGCUUGUACGAUUGUGAACGAACUUGUGUUUACAAAGUCGUCAGAGAAUAUUCGUUUUUAAAAUGGCAAGUUUUCCUCAAAGACAAAUGCAAGAUGAAAUGGAAAGGUUUGAAGCAGAAAUCUCUAACUCAACAUCCAAACCUAGCAUUCCCCCUCUUUUAAAACCAAACAUGGUACGACCCGCUUCUGGUACACCUGGAGCAUUUCAGCAAAAAUUCCAACCACCCACACAUUUUUUGCCAACCCAACUUCAAAGGGCUGGAGUUAGACCAGCUGCGCCAGCUUCUUCAUCUCAAACGUUUUCCUCUACCACAUCAGUACAACCUCCAAGCCAGGCUUCUAGUGUUGGAACAGCCAUUAUCAGUAACAAACCUGUUCUUUACCUUCCUGAUAAAGAAGCUAAAUCGACAUCUGCAACUCCAAAUACUGCUGCAAGUUUGACUAAAGCCCCACAACCAGCCAAAAAACAGAAAGUUGAGGCUAAAUCCCCUACUAAAGUUGCACCAAGUUCUUCGGGUGGUCCAUCUAUUUUGAGGGCUCCAUCCUCUACAGUUGGUUCAGCCACUGUUAAAGCUGGGACUGAGGAGCCCAAAGUACAAAAAAUGAAGAAACCCAAAAAAUUUGUAAGAGCAGCUGGUGGCACUGUUUGGCAAGAUGACUCCCUUCUUGAGUGGGAUCCAAACGAUUACAGAAUCUUUUGCGGAGAUCUCGGAAAUGAUGUGACUGAUGAAGUAUUAGCUCGCGUUUUCGGAAAAUUCCCAUCUUUUCAAAAAGCUAAAGUGAUCAGAGAUGCCCGUUCCAACAAAACAAAAGGCUUCGGCUUCGUUAGCUUCAAAGAUCCGACGGAUUUCACGCGAGCCAUGAGAGAAAUCAACGGCAAGUACGUGGGCAGCCGUCCCAUCAAAUUGCGCAAAAGCAAUUGGAAGAACCGCAACAUUGAUGAAGUGAAAAAGCGUCAAAAGGAGAAGGAUGUCUUACUUGGCAAGCGUCGAUGAUUGUAACUUUUUUUUUCCCCCUUCUCAAAUCGUACGUUGGUCAGUUUAUCACACCUUUGAUUUUUGAAAAUGCUGGCAGUUUGUUAGAAAAAUUGACUUACGCCGCUUCAAAUAGUGCCCUGUGGCGAAGAUUGCGAUAUGUCGCUACUAACUCAAUUUCGUGACGACGUAAGAGUUGAUUAUUUACGUGGUUGACACGACAAAAAAAGCGGGCGCGAUUGUGUGGAAUGAUUAAUUACAUAUAGGCGAUUAGAAGACUUCGUGGAAACCAUUCAUCAGGAAUCGGAAACGGCGCAAACGGACAGACUUGCUAAGAAACCAACUACUCCAUUAAGUAAUUAAAAGACAGCGAACUUUCCCCCGCUCAAGUUGCUUCGCCAAACCGGUAUUUAACUUAUUAAGGUGAUACUAUUUAGGCUGAAAGGAAGCAUAUUCGCUAACCCUCAUAAGGAAAGCUGCUUGGUCCAAAUAAAAGUUGCCUAUAGCCUUUCAUCUAAUUUUAGAGACUGACAUGUCUAACGUAAUGAAGAACGCCAUGAAACUCUAAUUGGGAGACAUGCGACGGUAAAUUGAAAUGAACGAACGUCACAUACAGCAUUUUUAAAAAGUACUAGGCAGCUGCAACUCCAAGGCGAUUCACCGGAAAACAUCGUCGACUUGAUCAAGAAGACCACGUAAAACAAAAAAAAAAAAUAUAUGUAUGAAAGUGAAAGGUUUCAAACGUCGUAACAAAAAAGAGUUCAACGAGAAGAAAAAAGGUAGAUCCCCAUUUUUAUUACCAACGCACGUCUCCGCCGAUAUUUUUGACAUUGCCGUUGCACUUGUAACUGAAUUUGCAUAAGCGACAAUCCUUCAAGAUGAAAUCGUCGAGGCAAUGGCACAGUUUGUCAGAAUUUGACAGAUUGUCGAAAUCCACCUACGCAUCAAUCCGUAGCCAUUUUUUUCUAUUACGCGUGAAAUAUCGCUAUUCGUUUUAAUGCGCUGCAUUGUUAGAGACUUAUGUAUCGUUAAAUUCACUUUUCGUGCUUAGUGUUAUGUAAUUCGCUUUGCUCUGUGGGGAAUCCAAAAAAUUUGAAACUCUCGUCAUAGAGCGACUAAACAAAAGAACAGUGUAAGGACUAUAUCGUCUGCAUUAAUUAUGGAAAAAGCUGGGAUUCUGCUUACGGCGUACGUCGCGAACGUUAUGUUCGGUGCCAUUAGAAAUGCGCUUAGCAGAGCUGGAAACAAGACUCCAAUAAUUGUUUGGUCCGUCUACGUCAGUGUCGGCUGCGGCUUACAGAGAGACGGCCUCACACAAUUCAAUCAACGAGAGUAUACUGUGACUUGGUUUUUUCCCCAUUCACUGUCGUCCUGUACAGCUGGAAGAAAAACAGUUUUUUUUAUGACAUUACGGGGAUCACAUCAGAUAAACUUGAAUUGCACCCGUGAAGAGUGAACUAUUUAUUACUGGGCAUUCGCUCUUUUGAAAUCACAAGUGGCUUUCUUUUUAUUUCGUCAGGUUAGCAUGAUCAAGAAUUUGGGUAACUAACCGACAUUUACUUUCCAUAAGGAAAAAG
Molecule: RNA transcript, 2602 nt
Organism: Daphnia magna
Lineage: Eukaryota; Metazoa; Arthropoda; Branchiopoda; Diplostraca; Daphniidae
Gene name: RNA-binding protein 42
Exons: 7
Source: RefSeq, a predicted model, not a curated record